This 293-nucleotide ribosomal RNA is filed under the name uncultured bacterium. RNAcentral's name for it is "partial 16S ribosomal RNA". It matches the Rfam family "Bacterial small subunit ribosomal RNA", at positions 504 to 796 of the family's 1533-position model. The record is from RNAcentral.
UGUGCCAGCCGCCGCGGUAAUACGUAGGUGGCAAGCGUUGUCCGGAUUUACUGGGCGUAAAGGAUGCGUAGGCGGAUAUUUAAGUGAGAUGUGAAAUCCCUAAGCUUAACUUAGGUGCUGCAUUUCAAACUGGAUAUCUAGAGUGCGGGAGAGGAGAAUGGAAUUCCUAGUGUAGCGGUGAAAUGCGUAGAGAUUAGGAAGAACACCAGUGGCGAAGGCGAUUCUCUGGACCGUAACUGACGCUGAGGCAUGAAAGCGUGGGUAGCAAACAGGAUUAGAAACCCCAGUAGUCC